RNAcentral lists this ribosomal RNA (253 nucleotides) under uncultured bacterium. RNAcentral's name for it is "partial 16S ribosomal RNA". It matches the Rfam family "Bacterial small subunit ribosomal RNA", at positions 524 to 776 of the family's 1533-position model. The record is from RNAcentral.
UACGUAGGGGGCAAGCGUUGUCCGGAAUUAUUGGGCGUAAAGAGCGCGUAGGCGGUCCGGUAAGUCGGCUGUGAAAGUCAAGGGCUCAACCCUUGAAAGCCGGCCGAUACUGUCGGACUAGAGUCCGGAAGAGGCGAGUGGAAUUCCCGGUGUAGCGGUGAAAUGCGCAGAUAUCGGGAGGAACACCAAUGGCGAAGGCAGCUCGCUGGGACGGUACUGACGCUGAGGCGCGAUAGCGUGGGGAGCGAACAGG